UAAUAUUUAUAAUUAGGGGCAAAUUUCAAAGGGAUCACACUGUCACAAUACCCUAAGCAACCUUGAUCAACAUAUUCAAAAUUUGAACUGGACAUGAACAUGCAUACAACAAACAAAGAUGUCUUCUAUCAUGCACAAAGUAAUAUGAAUUUUACAAUGAAUUUAGAUCCAAAAGUUCCAACUAAUUCUAUUGACACUGGAUAGUGCAUAUGAUAGCCUUCAGUUGACAUGACUCUUGGAUUUAGGAAGAUUGGUGUUUACACAUAAUUUGGAUAACAUCUUUUGUAUUUGAAAUCAGAAAAUUCAACUUUAAGGACAGUCAGUACAGAGAAACAGAACUAAAGGAUACACAGAUAUGUAACACAACAACCUAUAGAGGACAGAGAAAAUUUUGUUUUAUUAUUAAAUCAUACUUUUUUAAA
Molecule: long non-coding RNA, 422 nt
Organism: Mytilus californianus (California mussel)
Lineage: Eukaryota; Metazoa; Mollusca; Bivalvia; Mytilida; Mytilidae
Exons: 2
Source: RefSeq, a predicted model, not a curated record